UACGGAGGGGGCGAGCGUUGUUCGGAUUUACUGGGCGUAAAGGGUGUGUAGGCGGCUGCGCAAGUCUGGUGUGAAAUCUUCACCGCUUAACGGGAAGCGUGCACUGGAAACUGCGCAGCUCGAGUAUGGUAGAGGCAAGCGGAAUUCCUGGUGUAGCGGUGGAAUGUGUAGAUAUCAGGAAGAACACCGGUGGCGAAGGCGGCUUGCUGGGCCAUCACUGACGCUGAGACACGAAAGCGUGGGGAGCAAACGGGAUUAGAUACCCCGGUAGUCCACGCGGUAAACGGUGCGCACUAGGUGUGAGGGGUAUCGACCCCCCUUGUGCCGAAGCAAACGCAUUAAGUGCGCCGCCUGGGGAGUACGGCCGCAAGGUUGAA
This 377-nucleotide ribosomal RNA is filed under the name uncultured bacterium. RNAcentral describes it as "bacterial SSU rRNA". It matches the Rfam family "Bacterial small subunit ribosomal RNA", at positions 524 to 898 of the family's 1533-position model. The record is from RNAcentral.